UACGUAGGGUGCGAGCGUUGUCCGGAAUUAUUGGGCGUAAAGAGCUUGUAGGCGGUUUGUCGCGUCUGCUGUGAAAAUCCGGGGCUCAACCCCGGACUUGCGGUGGGUACGGGCAGACUAGAGUGUGGUAGGGGAGACUGGAAUUCCUGGUGUAGCGGUGAAAUGCGCAGAUAUCAGGAAGAACACCCGUGGCGAAGGCGGUUCUCUGGGACGGUACUGACGCUGAGACGCGAAAGCGUGGGGAGCGAACAGG
This 253-nucleotide ribosomal RNA is filed under the name uncultured bacterium. RNAcentral's name for it is "partial 16S ribosomal RNA". It matches the Rfam family "Bacterial small subunit ribosomal RNA", at positions 524 to 776 of the family's 1533-position model. The record is from RNAcentral.